Molecule: non-coding RNA, 145 nt
Organism: Gossypium raimondii (Peruvian cotton)
Lineage: Eukaryota; Viridiplantae; Streptophyta; Magnoliopsida; Malvales; Malvaceae
Source: Rfam
UGUUAAAAAUUUCAUCCAAUUCUACUAUUAAAAACCGGUGUAACUGACAAAAUAACCAGGUAAUUACACGUGACGUGCCAUCUGUACUUGAUGUUGAUAUACAAAGAUCAAUUUUUAACAAUAAAAAUGGAUGAAAAUUCUAAUU